AACGAACGCUGGCGGCAUGCCUAACACAUGCAAGUCGAACGAUCCCUUCGGGGAUAGUGGCGCACGGGUGCGUAACGCGUGGGAACCUGCCCUUAGGUUCGGAAUAUCUCAGAGAAAUUUGAGCUAAUACCGGAUAAUGUCUUCGGACCAAAGAUUUAUCGCCUUUGGAUGGGCCCGCGUUGGAUUAGCUAGUUGGUGGGGUAAAGGCCUACCAAGGCGACGAUCCAUAGCUGGUCUGAGAGGAUGAUCAGCCACACUGGGACUGAGACACGGCCCAGACUCCUACGGGAGGCAGCAGUGGGGAAUAUUGGACAAUGGGCGAAAGCCUGAUCCAGCAAUGCCGCGUGAGUGAUGAAGGCCUUAGGGUUGUAAAGCUCUUUUACCCGGGAUGAUAAUGACAGUACCGGGAGAAUAAGCCCCGGCUAACUCCGUG
This 433-nucleotide ribosomal RNA is filed under the name uncultured bacterium. RNAcentral's name for it is "partial 16S ribosomal RNA". It matches the Rfam family "Bacterial small subunit ribosomal RNA", at positions 29 to 507 of the family's 1533-position model. The record is from RNAcentral.